UAACGUGAGGCGGAGCAAACACAAAACACAGUCUCAGUUCAGAUUGUAGGCUGAAACUCGCCUAUAUGAAGUCGGAAUUGCUAGUAAUCGCGGAUCAGCAUGCCGCGGUGAAUACGUUCCCGGGCCUUGUACACACCGCCCGUCACACCAUGAGAGUCGAUAACACCCGAAGCCUGUAGUCUAACAGCAAUGAGGACGCAGUCGAAGGUGGGAUUGAUAAUUAGGGUGAAGUCGUAACAAGGUAAC
RNAcentral lists this ribosomal RNA (246 nucleotides) under uncultured bacterium. RNAcentral describes it as "partial 16S ribosomal RNA". It matches the Rfam family "Bacterial small subunit ribosomal RNA", at positions 1253 to 1500 of the family's 1533-position model. The record is from RNAcentral.